Molecule: ribosomal RNA, 492 nt
Filed under: uncultured bacterium
Lineage: Bacteria
Description: bacterial SSU rRNA
Rfam family: Bacterial small subunit ribosomal RNA
Source: RNAcentral
AGAGUUGAUCAUGGCUCAGGACGAACGCUGGCGGCAUGCUAACACAUGCAAGUCGAACGGAUCUGAUUCCUUCGGGAUGAAAGAUUAGUGGCGGACGGGUGAGUAAUGUAUGAGCAAUCUGCCCUUGUCAUUGGGAUAACAUAGGGAAACUUAUGCUAAUACCAAAUAUGACCACGGUAUCGCAUGGUACUGCGGUGAAAGCUCCGGCGGACAAGGAUGAGCUCAUAUCCUAUUAGUUAGUUGGUGAGAUAACAGCCCACCAAGACUGCGAUGGGUAGCCGAGCUGAGAGGCUGAUCGGCCACAUUGGGACUGAAACACGGCCCAGACUUCUACGGAAGGCAGCAGUGGGGAAUAUUGGUCAAUGGAGGCAACUCCUGAACCAGCAAUGCCGCGUGAGUGAAGAAAAUCUUACGAUUGUAAAGCUCUAAACUUAGGAACGAUAAUGACGGUACCUAAGGAUAAGCCCCGGCUAACUACGUGCCAGCAGCGGC